UAAGAUGUAAGAUGUUGUCAC
RNAcentral lists this non-coding RNA (21 nucleotides) under Mus musculus (house mouse). Lineage: Eukaryota; Metazoa; Chordata; Mammalia; Rodentia; Muridae. The record is from RNAcentral.